UACGGGGGGGGCAAGCGUUGUUCGGAAUUACUGGGCGUAAAGGGCCAGUAGGCGGCCAACUAAGUCCGACGUGAAAUCCCAAGGCUUGACCUUGGAACUGCGUCGGAUACUGGAUGGCUUGAAUUCGGGAGAGGGAUGCAGAAUUCCAGGUGUAGCGGUGAAAUGCGUAGAUAUCUGGAGGAAUACCGGUGGCGAAGGCGGCAUCCUGGACCGACAUUGACGCUGAACGGCGAAAGCUAGGGGAGCAAACGGG
Molecule: ribosomal RNA, 253 nt
Filed under: uncultured bacterium
Lineage: Bacteria
Description: partial 16S ribosomal RNA
Rfam family: Bacterial small subunit ribosomal RNA
Source: RNAcentral